Molecule: ribosomal RNA, 253 nt
Filed under: uncultured bacterium
Lineage: Bacteria
Description: partial 16S ribosomal RNA
Rfam family: Bacterial small subunit ribosomal RNA
Source: RNAcentral
UACAGAGGUCCCAAGCGUUUUUCGGAUUUACUGGGCGUAAAGGGUGCGUAGGUGAUCAGGUAAGUCUGAUGUGAAAUCUUCGAGCUCAACUCGAAAACUGCAUCGGAUACUAUCUGGCUAGAGGAAUGGAGGGGAGACUGGAAUACUUGGUGUAGCAGUGAAGUGCGUAGAUAUCAAGUGGAACACCAGUGGCGAAGGCGAGUCUCUGGACAUUUCCUGACGCUGAGGCACGAAAGCCAGGGGAGCAAACGGG